CCUACGGGAGGCAGCAGUGGGGAAUAUUGGGCAAUGGGCGCAAGCCUGACCCAGCAACGCCGCGUGAAGGAAGAAGGCUUUCGGGUUGUAAACUUCUUUUGUCAGGGACGAAGCACGUGACGGUACCUGACGAAUAAGCCACGGCUAACUACGUGCCAGCAGCCGCGGUAAUACGGAGGUGGCAAGCGUUAUCCGGAUUUAUUGGGUGUAAAGGGCGUGUAGGCGGGAAUGCAAGUCAGAUGUGAAAUCUAUGGGCUCAACCCAUAGUCUGCAUUUGAAACUGUAUGUCUUGAGUGCUGGAGAGGCGAGCGGAAUUCGGGGUGUAGCGGUGAAAUGCGUAGAUAUACGGAGGAACACCAGUGGCGAAGGCGGAUCGCUGGACAGUAACUGACGCUGAGGCGCGAAAGCGUGGGUAUCAAACAGGAUUAGAUACCCCAGUAGUC
Molecule: ribosomal RNA, 443 nt
Filed under: uncultured bacterium
Lineage: Bacteria
Description: partial 16S ribosomal RNA
Rfam family: Bacterial small subunit ribosomal RNA
Source: RNAcentral